This 615-nucleotide ribosomal RNA is filed under the name uncultured cyanobacterium. RNAcentral describes it as "bacterial SSU rRNA". It matches the Rfam family "Bacterial small subunit ribosomal RNA", at positions 122 to 770 of the family's 1533-position model. Lineage: Bacteria; Bacillati; Cyanobacteriota. The record is from RNAcentral.
GAAUCUGCCUUCAGGUUCGGGACAACCACUGGAAACGGCGGCUAAUACCGAAUGUGCCUCCACGUGAAAGAUUUAUUGCCUGAAGAUGAGCUCGCGUCCGAUUAGCUAGUUGGUGAGGUAAUGGCUCACCAAGGCGACGAUCGGUAGCUGGUCUGAGAGGAUGAUCAGCCACACUGGGACUGAGACACGGCCCAGACUCCUACGGGAGGCAGCAGUGGGGAAUUUUCCGCAAUGGGCGCAAGCCUGACGGAGCAAUACCGCGUGAGGGAGGAAGGCCCUUGGGUUGUAAACCUCUUUUCUAGGGAAGAAGAAAGUGACGGUACCUGAGGAAUCAGCCUCGGCUAACUCCGUGCCAGCAGCCGCGGUAAUACGGAGGAGGCAAGCGUUAUCCGGAAUUAUUGGGCGUAAAGCGUCCGUAGGUGGUUGUGUAAGUCUGCUGUCAAAGCACGGAGCUUAACUCUGUAAAGGCGGUGGAAACUGCGCGACUCGAGUGCGGUAGGGGCCGAGGGAAUUCCCAGUGUAGCGGUGACAUGCGUAGAGAUUGGGAAGAACACCUGUGGCGAAAGCGCUCUGCUGGACCGAAACUGACACUCAUGGACGAAAGCUAGGGGAGCG